RNAcentral lists this ribosomal RNA (397 nucleotides) under uncultured bacterium. RNAcentral describes it as "bacterial SSU rRNA". It matches the Rfam family "Bacterial small subunit ribosomal RNA", at positions 361 to 774 of the family's 1533-position model. The record is from RNAcentral.
AUAUUGCAAAAUGGGCGAAAGCCCGAUGCAGCAACGCCGCGUGGGCGAUGAAGGCCUUCGGGUCGUAAAGCCCUUUUUGAGGGGAUGAGGAAGGACAGUACCCUCAGAAUAAGCCUCGGCUAACUACGUGCCAGCAGCCGCGGUAAAACGUAGGAGGCGAGCGUUAUCCGGAUUUACUGGGCGUAAAGCGCGUGCAGGCGGAUUGGAGAGUUGGAUGUGAAAGCUCCCGGCUUAACUGGGAGUGGUCGUUCAAUACUUCCAGUCUUGAGUGCAGUAGAGGGAAGUGGAAUUCCGGGUGUACUGGUGAAAUGCGUAGAUAUCCGGAGGAUCACCAGUGGCGAAAGCGGCUUCCUGGACUGUAACUGACGCUCAGGCGCGAAAGCUAGGGUAGCAAACG